GAUCUAUAGAACAUUGUAAUGUUGUUUAUUUAGUGAUGUUAUUCAAUGUUAAAGGAAAUACUGUAACUUGGAAAGUAUACCCACGACAUGUAUGGAGUUUCCAUACUAUGUGUUGUGCAUGUAAUAUGAAAAAUAAUUUGUGUUUUUAAGAGGGAUGUGACUUGAAAGCUAAGAGACAAUUGUUUUUAUAACUGUGCACAAUAAGUUGUCACCAACCAUGAGUGAGGUCAGAGAGUGUCAUCCUGCCAAAAGAGUCCCUUUCCUGCAAACUCUAUAAAUGAUGGGGGGUUAAGAAAUUAACAUACCAGACUAGAAAAAUGUGUAGCUGCAGCAAAAGUGGUUUGAACUUUGAGUCUCAACGAGGUAGAGACAAAAAAAAAAAAAAUCACCUCCCAGACAAUCACUGGUAUGGCUGAUUAGCAGUCCUAAGUAAAGUAUCUUCGAAAGGAAAUUUAAGUAGGAACGUUCUGUUACUCUGCUCAAACCAUCGUAUUACACUACUCAUCACCUCACUGGGAAGCCAUCGAUACGGUUGGCUAGCCUAUCUUCAAGGAAUCAUCUUCAAGAGUGAAUGGAAGGAAAGUAAACUCUGUAGUACUGUUCAAGACUACACAAGUCAUCAGAUACCGGACAACUACAGAGAAGGACAACAAGACUUGUUGAAACCAUUUUGGACAAUCAGAGCCUUACAAGCGUGCCACAAAAAGGCUCAACUCCCUUUCCAAGGCUGCCCUGUUCACCGAGAGAGAUCCACAGCGAAGCCAGGGAUUUCAUGUAAAUGCAUUCAUGAUUACUUACUCAAAGCGGGCGGUGGUUUGUGUGCAAAGUAUAUACUUACUGUAGGUGAGUAGUUUCUGAAUGUACCAAUGUUAAGUGUCUCUGUCCCUCCAUCACGUUUGAAACAAGCAGCCAUGUUGUCAUUCCUUUUGGGACCUGUUAUAACGCAUUUAGUCUCCAGUCAAUAACCACAGCAGUGUGUUUCUCCUGUGUUACGGUUUUCUUCCAUCGAAGGAGAGUCGGA
This is a long non-coding RNA of Oncorhynchus tshawytscha (Chinook salmon), 1021 nucleotides long. The record is from Ensembl. NCBI's taxonomy places the organism in Eukaryota, Metazoa, Chordata, Actinopteri, Salmoniformes, Salmonidae.